RNAcentral lists this ribosomal RNA (1183 nucleotides) under bioreactor metagenome. Its description in RNAcentral is "bacterial LSU rRNA". It matches the Rfam family "Bacterial large subunit ribosomal RNA", at positions 1089 to 2309 of the family's 2925-position model. The record is from RNAcentral.
ACAACUAGGAGGUUGGCUUAGAAGCAGCCAUCCUUUAAAGAGUGCGUAAUAGCUCACUAGUCGAAUAAUUCUGCGCCGAAAAUUCAACGGGGCUAAGCAUGGUACCGAAACUGCGGAACCCACUGUGGUUGGUAGGGGAGCGUGCUUAAUGCGGCGAAGGCGGACCGAGAGGACCGUUGGAGCGUUAAGCAGUGAGAAUGCCGGUGUGAGUAACGAAAAGAUGGGUGAGAAUCCCAUCCGUCGAAAGCCUAAGGUUUCCAGAGGAAGGUUCGUCCGCUCUGGGUUAGUCGGGUCCUAAGGUCAGGCUGAAAAGCGUAGCCGAUGGACAACAGGUUAAUAUUCCUGUACCGCCCGGUUGACUGAUGGAAUGACGAAGGAGGCUAACCGAAGCUGCUUAGUGGAUUGCAGUUCAAGCGCAAAGGCGGGCAUGCAGGCAAAUCCGCAUGCCGUAACGCUGAAACGUGACGACGCAAGUUCGGUGAAGCCAGACUUCCGAGAAAAGUUUCUAGGGUUAAUCAACCGGGUGCCCGUACCGCAAACGGACACACGUGGGCGAGGAGAGAAUCCACAGACGCGCGAGAAAACUCUUGUCAAGGAACUCGGCAAAAUUGCCCCGUAACUUCGGGAUAAGGGGAGCUCUAAUUGAGCCGCAGAGAAUAGGCCCAAGCGACUGUUUACCAAAAACACAGGUCUCUGCUAAACCGCAAGGUGAAGUAUAGGGGCUGACGCCUGCCCAGUGCUGGAAGGUUAAGAGGAUGUGUCAGGAGCAAUCCAAAGCAUUGAAUUGAAGCCCCAGUAAACGGCGGCCGUAACUAUAACGGUCCUAAGGUAGCGAAAUUCCUUGUCGGGUAAGUUCCGACCCGCACGAAAGGCGUAACGAUUUGGGCGCUGUCUCGACAGGAGACUCGGUGAAAUCAUACUACCUGUGAAGAUGCAGGUUACCCGCGACUAGACGGAAAGACCCCGUGGAGCUUCACUGCAGCCUGAUAUUGGUAUUGGGCAUCGGAUGUACAGGAUAGGUGGGAGACUAAGAAACUGGGACGCCAGUCUCAGCGGAGUCGUCCUUGGGAUACCACCCUUUCGGUGCCUAGUAUCUAACCAGUGGCCAUGAACCUGGUCAUGGGACAUUGUCAGGUGGGCAGUUUGACUGGGGCGGUCGCCUCCCAAAGAGUAACGGAGGCGC